GAUGAACGCUGGCGGCGUGCCUAAUACAUGCAAGUCGAGCGAACAGACGAGGAGCUUGCUCCUCUGACGUUAGCGGCGGACGGGUGAGUAACACGUGGAUAACCUACCUAUAAGACUGGGAUAACUUCGGGAAACCGGAGCUAAUACCGGAUAAUAUAUUGAACCGCAUGGUUCAAUAGUGAAAGACGGUUUUGCUGUCACUUAUAGAUGGAUCCGCGCCGCAUUAGCUAGUUGGUAAGGUAACGGCUUACCAAGGCGACGAUGCGUAGCCGACCUGAGAGGGUGAGCGGCCACACUGGAACUGAGACACGGUCCAGACUCCUACGGGAGGCAGCAGUAGGGAAUCUUCCGCAAUGGGCGAAAGCCUGACGGAGCAACGCCGCGUGAGUGAUGAAGGUCUUCGGAUCGUAAAACUCUGUUAUUAGGGAAGAACAAAUGUGUAAGUAACUAUGCACGUCUUGACGGUACCUAAUCAGAAAGCCACGGCUAACUACGUG
RNAcentral lists this ribosomal RNA (497 nucleotides) under uncultured bacterium. RNAcentral describes it as "partial 16S ribosomal RNA". It matches the Rfam family "Bacterial small subunit ribosomal RNA", at positions 28 to 507 of the family's 1533-position model. The record is from RNAcentral.